RNAcentral lists this transfer RNA (67 nucleotides) under Phanerotoma flava. RNAcentral describes it as "tRNA-Lys". Lineage: Eukaryota; Metazoa; Arthropoda; Insecta; Hymenoptera; Braconidae. The record is from RNAcentral.
UAUUAGUUAUCUUAAUUUAAAAGAGUUGAAUUUUUAAUUCAAAAAUAAUAAAUUUUAUUACUAAUAA